UACGCGGCAGUCAGACGGCGGGGGAUAAGCUUCGUCGUCGAGAGGGAAACAGCCCAGAUCAUCAGCUAAGGCCCCUAAGUGGUGACUCAGUGGGAAAGGAUGUGGAGUUGCGUAGACAACUAGGACGUUGGCUCAGAAGCAGCCAUCAUUCAAAGAGUGCGUAAUAGCUCACUAGUCGAGUGAUUCUGCACCGAAAAUGUA
This 201-nucleotide ribosomal RNA is filed under the name Diacronema lutheri. RNAcentral describes it as "partial Bacterial large subunit ribosomal RNA". It matches the Rfam family "Bacterial large subunit ribosomal RNA", at positions 974 to 1174 of the family's 2925-position model. Lineage: Eukaryota; Haptophyta; Pavlovophyceae; Pavlovales; Pavlovaceae. The record is from RNAcentral.